This 2148-nucleotide long non-coding RNA is filed under the name Gopherus evgoodei (Goodes thornscrub tortoise). Its description in RNAcentral is "lncRNA (ENSGEVG00005006990.1)". Lineage: Eukaryota; Metazoa; Chordata; Testudines; Testudinidae. The record is from RNAcentral.
CUCAGGGCAAGGUUAGCUGAGCAGGAGAAUCUGCUCCAAAGGGCAGCUGAGCGUCUGCAGGACACCUGCCGCCUGAAGGACAACAUGGAGCACUUCAUCGUCAGCCACUUGACCCAAACUCAUGCCGUGCUGAGGAAAGCAAGGACAAACCUGGAGAAGAGCAAGCCCCAAGGCUCCUCUGUCAAAUCUCCUCCCUUCAUCGGUGCAGGGGAAAUCUCAGUGGGCUUGUCCCAGCACCCGAGCCACGUGAUCCCGACCAACCAGGAGCACAGAAGGAAGAGGAGCUGCCCAGACACCCUAAAGUGGCAGGAGGACCAGAGCUGGCCCUGCUUUGUCCACCUUCCCAGCUCCUGAGCACCAACCCUGGCUGAAACAGCUGCUGGGCAGGGCUCAGCAAGAACUGGGUGUGUGGCUCUGGUGCUGAACUCCUCUGCAUGGAAGCUACCCAUAGACUGUUUUAGGCUUGACCCCUGGGCUAGCACCAGCCCUGUCUGGUACUACACUGCCAGGGAGCCAUGCUCAUUUGAUUAAUCACUGUUAAACUAUAGGAAAUGUAGCCAGGGUAACUGGUGAAGCUGCUUUCCCAGUGAUCUCACCAUCCCCUAGCAUGGCCCAUCAUCCUGCUGCCACGCUCUCUGCUGUGGAACUUCACAGCCAUGCAUGUGCGUUAGACUGGUACUCUGCCACUGCCCAUGGGCAAGUGGCCUCCAGCCAGCUGCUGAGUCCAUGCAAGUGGCAGACGGUGCAGGUGGCUGCUCUAGUGGCCUGCAGCAUCCUGCUUGUGAGCUGGUUUCCUCCCAAACAGGGCUAUUGAUGCAGCUGUAAUUUAGGGGUGGUAGGUUCCAUCCCUGCUCUGGGGAAAACAAGCCCUAGAGAGGAGCACUUGUUUCUGUUGCUUGCCAAUACAGCAUGGCUUUGCCUGCAAGUCCUUCAUGCUGGAACUGGUGCAUUGCAGGGCGGUCAGGCUGCUUUCACCCUUCUCCGCUGGGACCUUCACCCAUUUGUUUGGUGAUAAGCAAUUUCUGAGGCAAUAUAACCAAAGUGUCAAAUCCUUGUAAGCCAGAGCUGAACUGUUGCUCCCCCCCAGGGGCACUGAUGAGCGACACACUCAGCUUAGGCCUGCUUUGGGGGGAACCAUUUAUAAAGCAGCAUUGGAAAGGCCCUCAGCUUGGCCAGCUUUGACUGGGGUGAGGCUCUGCUGUAGGCUAUGUAUAUAGUGACUGAGUGUAACCCGGGGGGAGUGAUGGGGCCCUGGACCAAGGCAGGCCUCCCAUGGGGCCAACAUGGCUCUAACUUUGGGAAGAAAUGAAGUUGUAAGAAAUGCAGGGCUCCCUCUCGGAGGGGGUCCCCAAUAAACUUUUUUUGGCCAUUGCCUACUGUAUCCUUUGGCUCUAAGGACCUUAAUGAAUAGUGGCAGGUCAGCGCUGCUUCCCUUCCACUAGGACCCAGGCUGCUCCCACAGCUCUGUCAGUGUAGGCUGCUGAGAGGCUGGCAGCCUCACCUAGCCAUUCCCAUGGGGAGGGGGUGCACUACCAUCACUGUGACAAGGACACCAGUGGGAAGAGCUUGGCACCCUGCCCCACAGGCCUGGCUGGCUGGCUUUCCCUUGCAGUGACCUGCCCUCCCAUGAGCCUGGCCUCCCUGCAGCACCUUAGUAAGGCCAUGCUGGCAGGAAGGGGGGAGUGUGGGCCACAUGUGUCACAGGGGCAGCCACAGCCCUGAUACUGGACACACCCAGGGCCAACCAUCUCAAACCACACAAAUGGCUGGCCUGGGUCCACAGUGCAGCCCCUCUUCCUUGGCAUGCAGACAGGGCCGCACAGUUGAGGUCCUACCACCUCGGUAACAAACUUUAUUAGUCACAUUGCUUGGGCCAAAGCCUUAGCCUGGCUUUAUGAGUUACAUCAAAUCAGCAAGGGAGCCUGGCACCGGUGGUGCCCCUCCUACCCCCAAGUCCAGGCCUCUACCCCCACACCAGGGACAGCAGCAAGAAGCUGCCCUUGCCUCAGUGCUGACUGCCUGAGCAGUAGGCCAAACCCUGGGCACAAGAGCCCCUAGUUCCAAGAACCCCCUCACCACAGACGUGUUCAGCAGUAAACAGCUGUGCAGGCUGUUAUCUGAAAGGGCUGGCUGAGGCUGACCUCACAC